This is a long non-coding RNA of Triticum aestivum (bread wheat), 1725 nucleotides long. RefSeq lists it as uncharacterized. The record is from RefSeq and is a predicted model, not a curated record. The transcript has 3 exons. Lineage: Eukaryota; Viridiplantae; Streptophyta; Magnoliopsida; Poales; Poaceae.
ACCUUCGCCUGCGUCGGAUCGUAAAGUCGUUUUUCCGCGAACUCCAAACGCGUUUUGCGGGUCGACGUUAUGCGGGUCUGUCAGAGAUGCUCUUAGGCACGACCCGUGCGCACGACCUUGGUGAGGCUCGAGGUGGCGGUCCUGAUCCACGCGCCCGGUGAGAGCGCUCGCCGCAGUGGUGGCUUGAGGACUGAAGCCGAACGCUCGGGCCGGUGGAUUGGGCUUGAGGACGAGGCAGAGCACGAGCCGGCGCUGGAUGGGAGCCGUUGGAUGGCAGGCGCCGGGGCACAUUUAUCAGGCCGACUGUAAAUCGUUUAUUCAAUCGGUUUUGUAAUGGCCGCCCCAAAUGUCCAAUGCACCCCUGCAAAUUUUGGCUUGUGCGUGCGUGGUGCCCUGCCGGCGUGCUAUGCGUGUUGGAUGGAUGACUGAGGGCGCGCAUGGCCGGCCGGCUGCCCGGCAUGUGUGCUGUCCGUGCGUGUUGACUCAGGAAUUGCCAGUCACCUAUAGGAGCCAUUGCAGGAAUUGCUUGAAUAUCCACAUUAGCUCCUAAAAGUGUUCCCUUCAAUCAGCCCUUCCUUCAAGAUUUUUGGUAUUAGCUGUUGAUUGUGCUAAAGAUACAGUACUUCAGGUCCUACCCUGAUCAGCUUAGUAUAGGAGGUGGAAGAUUGCGCCAAAAUCUUCCUCUUUACGACUUCUAUGUUUGGAACCAUAGUGCAAGUUGGGGAUCUUUAUUUCUGUUGAAAGAAAAUUACUUGCAACUGUAUUCGCACAUGUUUCAUUUAUUUUUAUGCAUUGCGGAUUCAUCAGGUACUACAAAAUAUUUGUUGUGAUGAUGCAAAUCAUGAUUUAACAUAGAAGUUGCCUUUGUCCAUUUCAGCUGCUUGGUCAGCUUAAGAGAGAGCCAAUGGCUGAAUGACUGAAUGCCCAGUCUAUCUCUAUCAAUUGGCACACCUAUCACUUGUGGAGUGAUAUUGAUUUGUCGAGAGUUAUCGAAGGCCAGGAAUCAUCUUGCCCUCAACCAGAUUCAUGUUCUUUGACUCACUUUUCCAUCAAGGUAAACCCUUUGGUUCCCGUUCUGUCUUUGUUCGAUUGUCGUUAACAGUUUUUUUGUUAGUUUGUAAUCCAUGUCUUCAGAUCAUGUACUUCUUUUUUUGACAUGUAGAUCAUAUACUUUUAACCAUCUUGCCCUCAACCAGAUUCAUGUUCUUUGACUCACUUCUCCAUCAAGUUGGUUCUUCAUUAUCUUUAUCUCAUUAUUCUGGUGCUACAUAUAUGUACGAUAUAUUCUUACAUUCCAGUAUGUUUGUUUGUAUGUGCUGAGUUUGCUCUUUUUUAAGGGCAACUAUUCUCUCAAACUGCAAGAAAUGAUGGUAGGUAGGGAAACAUUUGGAAUUUUUUUUCUUUGGUAUGCACGCUUUGGCUUUAACAAUAAUAUAUUUUUUGACAAUUCACACACUAAUUGUGAAAUAGUUGUGGUGUGUCUGUGGCCGCAUUAAGGUGGCUGCAUUGUUGACCAUGGUGGAGGUCUGGAGAGAAGGAAGUUGUGCGGUGAGAACAGCCACACUCAUUCUUGCGCACUGAGCCACCUCCUGUUAAGUCCCUUAUUCAAACACAUGCUAUUUUGUUCUUGUUAGAGUACGUAAUGGGCCUAAUGGGCCCAUUAGUCUUAGGGUUAAUAGAGAUAAGGGUCGUUUGCUUAGGGGCCAAGUAAGCCUUGCUUGAGAG